UUUAUUCCUAUUAGGAUAGAUUUCUCCCUUCAGAAGUUGGCUAAGUUAUAUGUUUCAAAGAUAGUGAGACCUCAUAGGGUUCCAGUCUCGAUUAUUUCUGAUGAAGAUCCUCACUUCACUUCUCAAUUUUGAAGGAAACUCCAUGAGUCUCUGGGUUCGAGGUUAGACUUUAGUACUACAUUCCAUCCUCAAACAGAUGGUCAAUUUGAGAUGAUGAUUCAGAUACUGAAUGAUAUGCUUUAGAGUUGUGUGAUCGAUUUUCGAGGUAGUUGAGAGAAUUUUCUGCAGUUGGCUAAGUUCACCUACAAUAAUAGUUUCCAGUCUAGUAUUCAGAUGGCACCUUUCGAGGCUUUAUAUGACCAUAAGUGUCGUAUUCUGUUGUGUUAGACUAAGUUGGGUAAGCAACAAGUUUUGGGUUCUAAGUUGGUUUCUGAUACUUAGGAUAAAGUUAGACUGAUUUGGGAUUUUCUUAAGGUGGUGUAGUCAACCAAUUUUGCCCGGGCCCAUUUAAUUUAUUUGCAAAUAAAUAAACCCAAAUAAAUGAAUAAGGUCCAAGACUAAAAAAGUCCAUUUACAAUUUUCAAAAUACAAAAAUUACCAAAAUAACCCAUGACCCAAAACCCAAUUCUAAUAAACCCGUAUCUUAAAUUUAGCCCAAAUAAAAAUAAUAGCCUAAACAAGUACCCAAAGUUCCUUAGCCCAACAACAUUUUUGACCCAAUUGAGCAGACACCCAAACUAUACACGAAUGGCCCAAAAGGCCCAACUGCUUGAAAAUGCCAGAAACCUAAGGGUUUCUAGAACACACCAGUGCUGCAAUCGAACUCACGCACGGCUUUCAUGAGUGGCUUUCUCCGUACGACCGUUGCUCCAUACCUACAAAAGAAUAUACGAGAAGAAGCAACAACGGCAUGUACAGCCAAAUGACAGAGGGAAAAUGUAUUUUUAUUUUUCCAUUUAUUCUAUAAAUUUGGCUAUAAAAAGCCAUUAUUUGUACCUUGAUUUUUUACGCAUAUAAUAUCUGUACACACGCAUAGAGAAUAGAAAAAAGCGAUUUAAGAUUAAAAGAGGUGAUUUCAUAUUUUUCUUUUUCUCUUCUGAUUUUUUUUGUUUUUUUCCUUUUCCCUUUAUUUUCUUAUUAGUUUGCUCAUUUUUUUUAUUAUGCGACUUAAGGCCGAUGAAAGCCCUAAAUCUGCCAUGCGAAUAUAAGGGCGAGAGGUCACAUAACAGUGAAAAUUUAUUUACUCUACAAAUCUGUUUUCAUUUUUUUUCCUUUAAAAAAUAACAUGAGAUUUGAAAGCUCCAUUCAAAUAAAGAAGAAAGGAGGGACAAUACUUACCGAAUCCUUUUAGAUCUGGUCGAGCUCCUUUAACAGCAAGAUUGGGCACAUCUCGCUUACUGGUAAUCACCCAAAAUCAUGGUAGUUUGGCAGUGAAGUGAAAGAAACCCUAAAGAAUUGAUUUUAAAGGCUGAAAUUUCUUUUGAUCUAAGUGGAGGCUGCGUUUGAGGAAUGAAAUAGAAGUGGAUAGGUCUUAAAUGACCAAUUAACAAUGCGGCGCUGUUUAAUGGUGUAAAGACCCGCGCGUCAACCCGUUUUGGCAGGCCGGGUAUGCGCAUGGUUGGUGUGAAUGGGGAAAUUUGUCGACAAAUCCCUCCCCUUGCACACAGCCUUCAAUUUUCGCCUGAUUUGCCUACUUUAUGUUUUAAAAUUGACCUGUUAGUUUGUGUAUGGUUUCAAUUGGAUCCGCGGUUCAUUGCUGCAUUAUGAGCAUGGGAUAUUUUCAAUAAUAGUCCUCACAUGUUUGUGCACAUGGCACAUUGACCCAAUUUUGCAAUUGUUUUAUUUGUAAAUGGUUUCUCUGGUUUUAAUUUUGUCACAACUAAGUCUUAUCAUCAUUAUUUUAUUUACUGCAUAUACAUCUUAGUUUUACAUGAUUAAUCAUUGGUUGUGAUAUUUUGUAUUAUUUUGAUAGCCGAAUUUUGUAAUCUUUUCUGUUUUUAUUCUAUUAUUUUAAUAAUUGUACUAUUUGUAAUAUAAUUUAUUUUAGUCUGUGUAUGCUAUUAGUUUCAUGAUAUUUUGUAAUUUCUCUUGGAUUCAUCCACAUAUUUAAAUGUUUAUUAAGUAUAUUUGGUAUUUAUGUUUAAUCUAGUAUAUAUAGCUUUCUAAUAAAUUUGUAUUUAAUUGUUUUUUAGUUUUAGUAAACGUAUAAUAUACAAUAAAAAUUAAGUUAAUUUUAAAAUUCAUAUUUUUUUAUGUUACUUCAACAUUCAACUAUUUCUAAAAUUUCUUUGUAUGUGUAUCUCACGGUAAAAUUAAGUUAAUUUUAUAAUCCAAAUUUUAAUUCCAUGUUAUUUAAAUAUACAAUUAUUUCUAAAGUGUCUUCACAUGUAUAACACAUAUUAAAUUAUUUUUACUAUGAUACAUAUUAUUAUUCUC
This 2436-nucleotide long non-coding RNA is filed under the name Gossypium barbadense (sea-island cotton). RNAcentral describes it as "long non-coding RNA (GBAR_LNC002402)". Lineage: Eukaryota; Viridiplantae; Streptophyta; Magnoliopsida; Malvales; Malvaceae. The record is from RNAcentral.